AAGCCCCGGCACCGGGUUAGGGUACUCCUCCGAACUUGCAUUUCGAUGUGCUCUGCACCGCAGGA
This 65-nucleotide transfer RNA is filed under the name Pachydactylus namaquensis. RNAcentral describes it as "tRNA-Cys". The record is from RNAcentral. Lineage: Eukaryota; Metazoa; Chordata; Lepidosauria; Squamata; Gekkonidae.